UUUUAUUCUCAAAGGGGUUUGUGUGUGUGUCGUUUAGGGAUGGCAGAAAUUCCCGCGAGAGUGGGUCCUCGUUGAGUCCUCGACUCUAACGGGGGGAGAUUUCGGGGCAAAACGGGUAUUAGGUACAACGAACUCAACUUGAAUAUAUAUAUGUUUAUAUUUAAAUAAAUAAUUAAAUAAUUAUAAUAUUUAUGUUUAACCCUAAGUUAACCUCCCUCUCUUAAUUCUUCCUAAUCUUAUCUAGUCUCCAACCGCACCUCUCUCUCUCUCUCUCUCUCCC
RNAcentral lists this long non-coding RNA (280 nucleotides) under Prunus persica (peach). RNAcentral describes it as "long non-coding RNA (PPER_LNC006874)". Lineage: Eukaryota; Viridiplantae; Streptophyta; Magnoliopsida; Rosales; Rosaceae. The record is from RNAcentral.